This 427-nucleotide ribosomal RNA is filed under the name uncultured bacterium. Its description in RNAcentral is "bacterial SSU rRNA". It matches the Rfam family "Bacterial small subunit ribosomal RNA", at positions 355 to 774 of the family's 1533-position model. The record is from RNAcentral.
UGAGGAAUAUUGGACAAUGGGCGCAAGCCUGAUCCAGCAAUGCCGCGUGCAGGAUGAAGGCCUUCGGGUUGUAAACUGCUUUUGUACGGAGCGAAAAGGUCUGCCCUAAUACGGUGGGCUCAUGACGGUACCGUAAGAAUAAGCACCGACUAACUACGUGCCAGCAGCCGCGGUAAUACGUAGGGUGCGAGCGUUAAUCGGAAUUACUGGGCGUAAAGCGUGCGCAGGCGGUUAUAUAAGACAGAUGUGAAAUCCCCGGGCUCAACCUGGGACCUGCAUUUGUGACUGUAUAGCUAGAGUACGGUAGAGGGGGAUGGAAUUCCGCGUGUAGCAGUGAAAUGCGUAGAUAUGCGGAGGAACACCGAUGGCGAAGGCAAUCCCCUGGACCUGUACUGACGCUCAUGCACGAAAGCGUGGGGAGCAAACA